Molecule: non-coding RNA, 1933 nt
Organism: Rattus norvegicus (Norway rat)
Lineage: Eukaryota; Metazoa; Chordata; Mammalia; Rodentia; Muridae
Source: RefSeq, a predicted model, not a curated record
UCUUCUUAUGAUCCAUAUGCAUAUUGAACACAAGGACCAAGGAGGCUCACUAUAAUUCAACCCUGCUUCUUUUUAAUCCUCCUCAUCCUUCCAUAACUCUGUGGAUAUUCAAUUAAUGUAGAAGUGGUGAGGGUAAACUGUAGAAGCAGUGAGGGUAAAUUGAACCUGUGCUGACAGAACAGGAAAUCCCCAGAGUUCAGUUUGUGUUAAAAUUAGGUUAACUUUGAUUGUUCACAAAUCUAACCUGUUCUUGUGUCCUUUGGAUAUGGUCUGAGGAAAGUCCAGUUUUAUCCUGGACUACUCUACAGACAGCACACAGUACUGCCCUUCUCUCAUGUAUCGAUUCUAAACAGGCCUGGGGAGACUUACCACACAUGCCAUGGAGGGAACUGAUGAAAGGCCAAGUAAAUAUACUACCAAUAUCUAAUUUGUUGGAAGAGUGAAGUAAAGUACUGGAUGUUUAACUGUAAAGGAGCUUCUUCAAAUGGGAGAAAAGAUGGGAGAUACAUGCCAACAGUGAGUCCAUGCAGAAGUGGCAUCAUAACUGGUGACUAGAAGUGGAAUAAGAGAUUCUUCCUGCAUCACGACUGCUAUAGCACACAGUCAGAAGGAGCAAGUGACUCACUCACACAGCUGCUUGGAGCUACAAUGCCACACAGCCUUUGUCGACCAGCUAUUCCCUGUGAAAGAAGCCUAGUCAGUUUGACCUCUCUUCUGCAUCUUCUAAACUCUUGGCCAAGAUCUUCUGGUCUGGGAGAUACUAUGGCAGGAACAGCACAGAAAAAUAAAUGAAGGAGGAAGAUGAUAUGGGAAGAUGCUUUCUCACAUCUGAUUUCCUACAAAGUGCCUGCCACAAUCUCGCCCAUCUCUCGCCAACUGGUAUACUGUCUCUGCUUUCCAAAAUUCUAGAUACUCAACAUCAACUCCUACAGAAGACAAAGAAUUAAUAAGAAGUAUGUCCAGAAGACACUAGCCCCACUCUUCCAACCCCAUCACUGUGCUCAGUAGAUUCCCUGGUUUAUAAUCCAACUGGAAGAACUGAGGCAGGCACUCCUGUAUGCUGGCUCCCCAUAUAUGACCAACCACUCACAUAUAAGGUCGGAUGCUCUCCUUUCUCUCUGUCAUCAAGCCACUGAAUUCAUCAGGAAGGAGUCCUCUAUCAGCUCAAGUGCUUUGAGCUCAUGUGCUCUGGGCUCCCCACUAUUUAGUGGGCAGCUCCAGCAGGCAUUGAAAUAGGCUCUUAUCUCAACUUGAACCCGAAACCUGUGACUCUACUUUAUUCUCCAAAUACAGAAGCCCAAAAACCAAGAAGUAGGAAGGUAAUGUCAGUGAUGUCAGUGGUACAGCACUGCGCAUGGUGUAUGGAUGCAUCCCUCUGCGUUGUAAAGAAGAAAAGUCUUCACUCAGAAGUGGGCACCUGCACUGAAAAUUCAUGGAGUUAGAAUACAGGGAUGCGCCUGAUCCAUUCAAUGGUGCAAGAUUGGAGACAGGAUUCUUCCCCAGAAGAAAACCUUAUUAAGAGUUCCAAUGGAGACUGCAGCCUGACUGAUGGUGCUCACAUUUCUUCAACAUCAGUGAGACCACCCUUGGCACAAGUCACAAAAUCUACCUUAUUAUGAGGGUGGACAUGCAAGCUUCAGUCAAAGGCUGUUCUACAGUGAGAAUCUGUGGGAUUCUUCAACGGUGUCUAAGAUGAUGAACAGCAAUGGAAGCCAUGGAAGUGUCCCACAUUAAAAUGAGGGGGAAAGCUGCAAAGGUGGAUACUGGAAAAGAGCAGAAGAUCCUGGGGAUGGUAAUGUCCUCCUAUUUUCAGAAAGCUGCACAUUCUAAGCAUUGCUGGACUUUAGAGAAAAACCCUGAAAAUAUCAAGCAAAUAAGAUCUGUAUCAGCUGGUGAAAUAUAAUAAAGUCUUCAAUUUUUUUUGAUAAAACCA